RNAcentral lists this ribosomal RNA (253 nucleotides) under uncultured bacterium. RNAcentral describes it as "partial 16S ribosomal RNA". It matches the Rfam family "Bacterial small subunit ribosomal RNA", at positions 524 to 776 of the family's 1533-position model. The record is from RNAcentral.
UACGUAGGGUGCGAGCGUUGUCCGGAAUUACUGGGCGUAAAGAGCUCGUAGGUGGUUUGUCGCGUUGUUCGUGAAAACUCACAGCUUAACUGUGGGCGUGCGGGCGAUACGGGCAGACUAGAGGUAUGCAGGGGAGAACGGAAUUCCUGGUGUAGCGGUGAAAUGCGCAGAUAUCAGGAGGAACACCGGUGGCGAAGGCGGUUCUCUGGGCAUUACCUGACGCUGAGGAGCGAAAGCCAGGGGAGCAAACGGG